Paramisgurnus dabryanus is the source of this 6243-nucleotide non-coding RNA. The record is from RefSeq and is a predicted model, not a curated record. NCBI's taxonomy places the organism in Eukaryota, Metazoa, Chordata, Actinopteri, Cypriniformes, Cobitidae.
CAUGAGAGAUCAGAUGGAUGUGAUGUGCUGUAAAUCAGUAGGAACUGAUCUGUCCAUGCUGGAUAUUGAUGAUUUGAUGACAGAAAUCUCUCAGCUGAAGAAAGAGGUGGCGUUACUGGAGUCAAAGCUCAGACAGAGAGAUGAACCGAACGCAAAGGAUGUAUCUGGUGUUUCUCUCUGUGGCUUUACUGAUCAAACAUCUACAGAGCUUCUGGUUUCUGUCUGUAAUGAAGACCAGACAACAUCAGUGAAUCUGCUGGACUGUGGGAUAGAAGUGAAACAAGAAGUCACAGAAGCAGAUGAAGGUUAUUUGAUUUAUUCAGAUCAGAAAGUGGUAAAGGAGGAAAUUUUACAACUCAAUAAAAUGGAGGAGAAACCUCAUCAUUUGAUACCCAAUGAAGAAUCUCUGAGCUGCUUAAGUACUGUGCAGAAUUUGUCACAAAAGGCAACAGUCAAGGAUGCUCUUAUGUGCUCUCAGUGCGGAAAGACCUUCACCAAGAAAUGUUAUCUUAAUCAGCACAUGAAAAUUCACACUAGAAAAGAGCCUUACAGAUGUGAUCAGUGUGGAAAGAACUUCAUUCGUAAGUCUGACCUUAAUGGGCACAUGAGAAUCCAUACUGUAGAAAAGCCUCACACAUGUGAUCAGUGUGGAAAGAGUUUUAAGAAUAAAUGGCACCUUAAUGACCACACAAGAGCCCACACUGGAGAAAAACCUUACAGAUGUGAUCAGUGUGGAAAAAACUUCAUUCGCAAGCCUGAACUGAAUAAGCACAUGAAAAUUCACACUGGAGAAAAACCUUACAGAUGUGAUCAGUGUGGAAAGAGCUUCAGGGGUACGUGGAACCUUAAUCAGCACAUGCAAAUUCACACUAGAGAAAAGAUUACACAGUGUGAAAAGAGGGCCAUUGGUAUGCUUGAUCUCAACGGGCACAUGAGUAUUCACACUGGAGAAAAGCCUUACAGAUGCGAUCAGUGUGAAAAGAGCUUCUUUCGGAAGUUCCAUCUCAACAGGCACAUGAGAAUUCACACUGGAGAAAAGCCUUACAGAUGUGAUCAGUGUGGAAAUAGCUUCAUUCGGAAGUGUGAUCUCAACAGGCACAUGAAAAUUCACACUGGAGAAAAACCUUACAGAUGCGAUCAGUGUGGAAAGAACUUCAUUCGUAAAACCCAUCUCAAGAGGCACAUGAAAAUUCAUACUGGAGAAAAGCCAUACAGAUGUGAUCAGUGUGGACAGAGCUUCCUUCGUAAGUGUGAUCUCAAGAGGCACAUGAAAAUUCACACUGGAGAAAAACCUUACAAAUGUAAGCAGUGUGGAAAGAGCUUCAUACGUAAGGCCCAUCUCAAAAGCCACAUGAGAAUUCACACUGCAGAAAAGCUUUAAAAAGCACCUACUCUCCUGACUUGCACAUUUAAAGAGUUCAGAUACAAAAGCCACCAAACGCCACCUCCAUCAAUUAUGAGAUAAUUAUAUUAACCGAAUGCUAUUGGCAAGUAUUAUAUGGCAAGGAUCACUAAAUACUUCUGCUUGGCUUAAUCCCAGCCUCAGGCCAUUCAGAAAUAACAGUUUGUUGGCAGAAUCCAUUAAGAGUCUGAUAGAAAUUAACACUGGGUUUGCAAACCGCUCACCCGCUGACUAAAAUGAUGGCUAAACAGGUAGUCACACUACACUUUUCAUAACAUUGACUUCCAUUCAUAUGCAUGCUAGUGCACAGAUAUUUUGCUGCAUACCAAAGUUCAAGUCUGGUGAACUCUGUCCUGCAAAUUCGUAUCACAGGGAGAUAUAUGACCAGAAAAAAACAGUUGUCCUUACCAUUUUCUUCACUCCGGUGGCACAGUGCAACCCGCGGUGGUUAAUUGCAAUCUGCGGUGGUGUGCACGUCAAAAACUUUGAAAAAUAUAAAGUACAAUCCAGCAGACUCUGUGUUAGUGCGCUAUUUGCAAGGGGAGUGAUGACUCGCUGGCUUGGGGGCGGAACAAUGAGGCAAGUUAUUUUCUCUCGGACAAGGUUGCGAAAAAGUAUCAAUCUGCACUACCAGUACACCAUCAGUGUUGUUUCAUGGAUAGAAGUGCUACAAUAAACAAGCACAUAGGCACCAAUCCCAUGGGUUCUCCAGGACUCUGCUCGAGCACCCACCGAAAUGCCCAAGUACAUGGUCUCAAUUGCUUCACAUUUGCUUCACAUUUUACAUUUAAAUUUAGGCAUUUAGCCGAUGCUUUUAUCCAAAGCGACUUACAAAGAUAAGGAAACAAUCAAGUCAUUUGUCAUAAGGAGGCAAUAAUACAAGAGGUGUCUAUGGCCCAGUUAUACGGCAGAGAGGUUUUGGGGAAAGCCCAGAGUAUUUUAUCGGAUGAUUCCCACCCUAUGUUUAAUGAGUUUGACCUUCUCCCCUCAGGCAUUAGGUACAGGAUCAUUAUUAGCAAAACAACUCGUUUUAAACAUUUAUUUUUCCUAUCAGCUGUGAAACUUUAAAUAUGAGAUAAGGUAUUUUAAAUUCCUUUGUGAAUUGGGUGGAUGUUUUGUGUUUUUAUGUUCUGUGUGAUAUACUUGUAUGCUGCAACAAAAUUGCCUUCAGGAAAUGAAAUAAAGUUGAAGUGAACUGAACUGAACAAAUUACAAGUUUUCACAAUUCCUAAACAAUACCUGUUAAGAGAGAACAUGACCGUCCGCGUGCAGCCCAAAAUUUGAGACCGCGCGGACAGUGCGCGGACAGUCCGCGUACGACAGCGCAUGCGCGUGAAAAUAUUUAGACAGGACACUCCACUAUAAACAAUUAUACAAAGGAAAUAGACAGCAUUUGCACACACACUAUCGUUUUUCUUCUUUAACUUUUACUUCUUCCAAGAACAGAAAGCUGUGGAGCAUGUUUGUUUGAUUCCUGUUCUUUGUUGUCUUCUUGUUUGUUCUAAACUGUGUUUGCAAUGGUGGAUCAGUUACUUUUCUUCACCUAUCCUAAUGUUUUAAUGUACUGUACAUGUCGCCAAAUCAGUGCUGCCCUGAGAGCCUGUUAGACUAAUAAUUUGAAUAAGAAAUCAUUUGUAUUGCGUGUAGUGUCGAACGCGGCCAUCCGCGUGUAGCCGCGGGGACUAUACCCGGAAAGCUGCGCGGACGCGUGCGCGCGCGAGCCGGACGCAGACGCGGAAAAAAGUAUACCCGGCCCUUGAUACCUAUCAUAUUCGCCUUAACAUCCGAAUAAUUUUUGCAUGCUAAAACUCUAGUGUGGCCUCCUCUUAAGUGCUUAUGUAGUAUUUUGCUUUAGACUUAAAUUUCAAGUAUGGUCCAUUUUUUUAUGCAUUUUUUUUAUGCAUCCUCGAGGAGCCAUAUACAGCGAGCAUGACUAGUCUAGUAUGUAGCCCAGGAGAUGCAUUGCGUCUGUGUACCCUUACGAGUAAAAUAAACUUCGCAGGGCUGUGCAUUUGUCUUCCAUCAUUCAACUUUGGUCCCAGACACAGCCAGCACGUGGGCAAUGUAAGCCAACCUCUCAUCUGCGCUACUUUGUUGGCAUCGGUUUGGUGUGUCGUUGUCCUUAAGAAGUAACAACAGCCAACUUGACCGAUCACAGCGUUUCAGAAGAAAGGUUUCAUAGAGUCUGGAAGUAACAUACUGGAAAGAGAAGCUCUAGAAUAAUGUAAAAUAUUUGAAAAAAAAAUGUGACGACAGUGUUGGGCAAUCAGAGGUCGAUAAAUAAGAGGUUUGUGUACUUUAACUUUACAAGAUGAUCCUAACGUCUCUGCAGUUUGGAAUCAAACCUUUAAGUUCACGGUGUGAUUGACUUUGAGGUUUUACUACAGCCUUUUUCUUGUUUUUGUAUUUUUAAAUGAUUUGGAUAUAUUUUAUUAUUAUAACGUCAUGUAAAGGUUUUUUGUUUGAAAUUUUGUAUAUAGUUAACGCUGUUAUGUAUUCUCAGGAGAUUUGAUUCAUUUGAACGUAUUGCUGUCACUUUGGCAUUAUCCACUGCUUUGUUUAAAAAAUAAUUGUACAAUAAAGCUGAAAUCCAACCUGAAUGUUGACAUUGACAAAGGAGAAUAAUGUACAAUCUAUCACUAGAUCAUCAAAUCUUUAUAAUAGUAUUAGUUUAUUUUACAUUUAUAUAUUUUUAACAAAACCUUUGCUCUCUAGAAACCAUUUCAGUUGAAAUUUAAGUUCAAGUAUACCUGUAGAAAUACCAACAGGACAUGUAUGAUAAAAUUUGGUCAUGUUGAACAAUAACAGGAAUAUCAAAGCUUGAAAGUAAAUUGUUUUUGCAGUAUUGUCUAUUGAAAAAUUCAAAAGUGGAUAGAAAGCAACACCAGUCCCCGUCCUCUGUUGUCACGGCUGUUAAGGCAGUCACAGGUGGAGCUGAUUUUCCUAUUGAAUGUAAGAAUAAACAUAAGGCAUUUUUAAUUCUAUCAUGACCAAACUUUAAGGAGCGGUUUCCAGGAAAGGAAUUAGACUAGUCUAAACUAAAUGUAAGAACUGUCCAAACUGAAAACAACUUGCACCGACAUAUCUUAAAAUUCAUCAGUGCCUUUUGUUUUACCUCAGAAUGCCACAGAAGGCAUUUUUGUUAAAACUAGUUAUAUUUUCAUAAUUAAACUAAGGCCUAGUCCUAGCUUAAGCUAAUCCAUGUCUGGGAAUCCACCCCAUAAUAAAUUAAACUAUGAAAUCAUAAUAAAGCCUAGUUUAAUUUAUUAUGGGGUGGAUUAAUUUCCAGUAAGCUUUUUGCUUCACGUGAGCUUUUUGCUGACUGAAUUAAGCAAAAAAUACUAACAGAUCCUUGCUCGAUGAACUAAACCAGACUCUUCUGACGACCAACGGUCACUAGAUAUUUUAACAUUUUAUUCAGAGUACUUGUUUAUUAAAACAUUUUGUGCUGUUGAAAUGCACGUGCAGAUGAAUUCUCUGUAAAUCCUGAGCUCUUGAAUUAUUCACUUGACUGAACUUUUAACGAAUUUGUAAAACAAAAACUGUCAGCUGUUUCUCCUUUAAACUAAUAAAUACAGUAAUGGAUAUUUCGCUUGGUUGCCCACUUAUGAGGUAACUGAGGUAAAUCGUAGGGAUCUGUGUGUAACUAUGGUAAAUGACUGUUGUCAAGCAGCUGUUGCGUCACGCUCCCGUCCAGCAGAUGGCGCAAACUCACCGCGUGUUACAUAAAACAACAGAUGAAGAAGAAGAGAAGCUCACGAGCAGCUGUAAGUGUUGUGUUUGCUUUUUAUUUGUGUGUGAAUAAUGUUUGUAUCUUUGUGGUAAACAAAGUUUUAUUCUCGUUUUCAAUUUAAUGUUUAUUUUAAUUGCCGUUGAUUUUUGUACCAGGCAGAGUUUUCAGAGUUGUUUCUGUAGUCCGAAAGGUUUUGUUUCUUGAUUUAACAAAGUUGCAGUCGUUUAUAAUUCUAUGGAAAUUAUGUUUUUGUGUUAAUAUUAUAAUGGUGAUGUUUUUGUAUUCAGAUGUUCAUCAUGAGAGAUCAGAUGGAUAUGAUGUGCUGUAAAUCAAAGCUCAGAGAGAGAGAUAAUCCGAACAGAAAGGUUGUAUAAGUUAAAGAGCCCCUAUUUUUAAUUUCAUGACUUUAAUUUAUUCCUUUUUUGGUGUGUAAGUUGAUUGGCAAAUUUGAUCAAAAUUGUCAUCUGCAUUUUUUUGAUCAGAUUCGGGCUUGUAUUGAUGGGGUAGUAUGAUGAUAUUACCUCCUGUUGGGAGCUUUCAAAUCUUCCAAAUAUGUUAAUGAGCGCCACAUUUCCAUCACUUGUUUGAAGUAUUCUGCCAGUAACAAUACACUGGAUAGCUGGCCAUUUGGAGCACACACUAUACAAAAUGAUUAGCUUUGUAAAAAAUUAACAUGUUUUAGAAAGGUGGGGCAUAGAGGAGCAAAAAUAAUGUACGGUAUGAGGAAAAUAAUGUGGGUUUUUUUACCAUAAACCAUGCAAAACAUUUGUUUUUCACAAAAUAACUAUUUUUAGAACGCAAUAAAGGCUCUUUAAAACACUUAAACACUCUUUGUUAUCAUGAUUGAGGUUUUUGUGUUUAGUGUUGAAAUCUCAGUGAAUGACACAGUAUUGAUCCUAUAAUGAAAGUACAUCAUCACAACCUGUUUAAACAGUCACUGGACCAAUGUUUUAGUCUCUCCUAAGUGGUUUGUGUAUAUAAUAAAAUGCUUAACUAAAAUAAAAAGUUGAGUUUCUUUAUAUCCUUAUUGACAUGGGACAUUACUGUUACAUUAACAGUAAGAGUUUAGGUUUUUUCAACCUCAAAUUUAUUACAGUCACUUUGAAUU